GACGAACGCUGGCGGCGUGCUUAAUACAUGCAAGUCGAACGGACAGGCCCUGCUCUUGUGCCGUGCUCGUUUGCCGAACGGGUGAGUAAAACGCGAGUAUCCUGUCCUUGACUUAGGGAUAACUUCACGGAACUGGGGCUCAUAUCGGAUAGGAGCUCCUGCUGCAUAGUGUGCAUUGGUGAGUUUCGGCGGUUGGGGAUGGACUCGCGGCUUAUCAGCUUGUUGGUGGGGUAGUGGCUUACCAAGGCUUUGACGGGUAGCCGGCCUGAGAGGGUGACCGGCCACAUUGGGACUGAGAGACGGCCCAGACUCCUACGGGAGGCAGCAGUGGGGAAUAUUGCACAAUGGGCGGAAGCCUGAUGCAGCAACGCCGCGUGCGGGAUGACGGCCUUCGGGUUGUAAACCGCUUUCGCCUGUGACGAAGCGUGAGUGACGGUAAUGGGUAAAGAAGCACCGGCUAACUACG
RNAcentral lists this ribosomal RNA (466 nucleotides) under uncultured bacterium. Its description in RNAcentral is "partial 16S ribosomal RNA". It matches the Rfam family "Bacterial small subunit ribosomal RNA", at positions 28 to 505 of the family's 1533-position model. The record is from RNAcentral.